CUCAGAAAUAAUACAAUAUGUCUAGACUGACCCCCCUUGUUAAAACAUUGUUAUUUCUAAUCAGCGCAUAUACUAACGGUGCCCCCACCCCGGUCUAUAAAUUUACAUCGGACACCCCCCAAGGUGCUACCCCUAAGGUGCUAUGAAGCAUAAAUGCAAUACUGGSAGACAGAAUGUGUCUCGACACCCCCUCCUGGUACUCCAGGCCCAUUUUUUAGCAUAGAGGAUGGCCAAAAGAAAAAACGUCACCCCAUGCCUUGUAAACUAAUUCAGUACUAUUUCUCCUUUUGAAGCCAAGACGGCGAACGAGUCUAGUGAAACAGACACUUUCCCACUCUGUUAGCACCGCUUUAGCGACAACUACAAACCCCACAGGCCAACAGCCCCGAAUAGUUAUCGGACUGAACAUUUAAAAGAGCAUCUGUGAAUCCAGCCUAAUGGAGCUUUCUGAAGGAUAUCAGACAUUAAGCCAACUGCACCCGGGGAUAAAUGCUAUGGAACAGCCUUCGUUAGAAUGGAAUUCCGAGGAGCAACGGGSGGACACAGAAUUUUACGAGAUAUCUAUAUGUCAACUGUAUGUAUCUUUUAUGAUAAAAUGUACAACCGACAUCGAACCCCCUACACCUCUGGAGGACAUGGUCGAAACGGAAGGGGUACCCCGGAACAUAGAGAGUAAAACAAUGAAUUCGGGAAGAUUUCACCGCUUUAAAUGACAUUUCGGAGGUCGCUGAUUUGCGGUUGUUUGAAAUGGGCAGAAAACAGGUUAAGGACAACUCUGAGACAGAAACAACAUUCAGUCAUGAUAUUCUAAAACAGGAAGACAACGAUUUUUACAGAUAUUCAGAAACGGAUGGACAAUGAUUUUUUAAAUUAUUUUUAUUAUUUUUAAAUAUAUUUUUUAGGCAAUAUGUCAAAUGGACGUAUUCUUAUAAGUUAAAAUGUAUCUAUUUCGUAUAAAUACAGGUUAACAUUAUCUAACGUUGGUAUGAUACCCAGAGGCUACCGGGCAUAAUUGAUUGGGAACCGACAGCGUUAGACGGCGAUUCUCAGAAGCAAACUGCGCCCGGUCCUUUACGUAGCCCUUCACCAACACACUAUUUUUCGACCGGACAGCCAACAAACAGGGGUACAUGCAGCAUUAGGGACUCUGAACGACUUCGGAAGAGCAGAUGAAACAGAUGCAAUUCUAGGGUUUUGUACUAACGGCCUUACCCUAACUCCAAACACCAGCCAGCAGCCCAGGACAGAUACRACGAUAAUCGRUGAAUCCUUCCUUCCUCAUGGAACUUUUUGAAGGGGAGUUGAACAUUCAAGGUGAUGUAUGUAUAUAGAUAUAUAUUAUCUAAGAAUGAGAGGUAUUAAUUCUAGGCAUUUACCUGUAUGUUUUWAAAAAUGAAGGCUAUUUAUACAAUGAACCAUUGUCUUUAUUCAUACUGUUUGUAAACAAUAGCUUCUGCCCUCUUAGGGUCUACUUGACCCGGUUAAUAAAUCAGACCUCUCAGACUAGAAAGUAUGAUUAUUGACUCCUGAGUGUUGAACUUAUGCCCACUCUACAGCAACCCUGAUUGUUAUAUGACCCUGAGGAUCAUCUACGAACGUUGGAACAUCUAGAACAAAAAUAAGGGGCACAUGUGCUCUUAAAUGUCCACUUAGAGCAUGGUACCUCUAUAUUUUUGUUCCUAGGUUUAUGACUUCUAGGGCGUGUUUCCAAGAGGCUGUGCUAAGGCAUAGGCAUAAUAGGUCUUAGAUUCUAUAGCCGGGGUAUCUGUUAAACACAUUGUGACAACUAUUGAAGAUGCAAAAAGGGGUUUUCAGAAAUACAUUUGGUUGAYAGAUUUGUAUUAUUAUAAAAAAUAAUAUAACAUUAUUAUCAUAAUCUUUAGUAUUAUUAUGUUACAUGCGUGACAUACCCAGAAAUGUCAACGUAGACAACUUACAAGAAUGUGUUUACCAGGCAGUGAUGAAAACAUUUUGAAGGAGCUGUUGUUCAAACAUGCAAAGAUAUAUAUUUGAUACAAUUACCAACGUUAAAACUGUUGUUACAAUAUCACUUCUCAUUGUGUACAUUUCAAGCUUUCAACAACAAUUAAACAACCAUCUAAAUAAUGUUUCUCGGACUAACACACUGUUGAGUUUCCUAUUUACUAAAGAAAAACCACUAAGACAAAACACAAAAAGCUGUAAUAUAAUAUGUAUACAUGUAACGGCAGAUUUCCUCCUCUUCGUCUGAAGAGGAGGUGUGUCAC
Non-coding RNA from Salvelinus sp. IW2-2015, 2246 nucleotides. NCBI's taxonomy places the organism in Eukaryota, Metazoa, Chordata, Actinopteri, Salmoniformes, Salmonidae. The record is from RefSeq and is a predicted model, not a curated record.